This is a non-coding RNA of Pelobates cultripes (western spadefoot toad), 245 nucleotides long. The record is from the annotation of a GenBank genome assembly. Lineage: Eukaryota; Metazoa; Chordata; Amphibia; Anura; Pelobatidae.
GAAGCUAUAAUCACUCUGUUUCAGCGGGAUUUCGGGAGAAGCUACAAGGAUCAGCACUGCACGAAUAGAAGGAUCCUUUACAUGCCCUAUCAACUUUCGAUGGACUUUCUGCACCUACCUUGGUGACCAUGGGUAAUGGGGAAUCAGGGUUCGAUUACAGAGAGGGAGCCUGAGAAACGGCUACCACAUCCAAGGAAGGCGGCAGGCGCGCAAAUUACCCACUCCCGACAAGGUGAGGUAGUGAC